CAAUAGCGUAUAUUAAAGUUGUUGCAGUUAAAAAGCUCGUAGUUGAAUUUCUGGCGGGCGCGCCGGUCUUCCAAGUGUUGUACUGGGCGCAGUCCGCCAUCCUUGUGGAGAGGGCUCGCAUUGAAUUGCGUGUCGGAUCUGCAUCAUUUACUGUGAAAAAAUUAGAGUGUUUAAAGCAGGCUGUCGCUUGAAUACAUUAGCAUGGAAUAAUAAGAUAGGACUUCGGUCUAUUUUGUUGGUUGCGAACCGAGGUAAUGAUUAAUAGGGAUAGUUGGGGGUAUUCAUAUUUAAUUGUCAGAGGUGAAAUUCUUGGAUUUAUGAAAGAUGAACAACUGCGAAAGCAUUUACCAAGGAUGUUUUCAUUAA
Molecule: ribosomal RNA, 366 nt
Filed under: uncultured eukaryote
Lineage: Eukaryota
Description: partial 18S ribosomal RNA
Rfam family: Eukaryotic small subunit ribosomal RNA
Source: RNAcentral